This 497-nucleotide ribosomal RNA is filed under the name uncultured bacterium. RNAcentral describes it as "partial 16S ribosomal RNA". It matches the Rfam family "Bacterial small subunit ribosomal RNA", at positions 28 to 507 of the family's 1533-position model. The record is from RNAcentral.
GAUGAACGCUGGCGGCGUGCCUAAUACAUGCAAGUCGAGCGAACGGACGAGAAGCUUGCUUCUCUGAUGUUAGCGGCGGACGGGUGAGUAACACGUGGAUAACCUACCUAUAAGACUGGGAUAACUUCGGGAAACCGGAGCUAAUACCGGAUAAUAUUUUGAACCGCAUGGUUCAAAAGUGAAAGACGGUCUUGCUGUCACUUAUAGAUGGAUCCGCGCUGCAUUAGCUAGUUGGUAAGGUAACGGCUUACCAAGGCAACAAUGCAUAGCCGACCUGAGAGGGUGAUCGGCCACACUGGAACUGAGACACGGUCCAGACUCCUACGGGAGGCAGCAGUAGGGAAUCUUCCGCAAUGGGCGAAAGCCUGACGGAGCAACGCCGCGUGAGUGAUGAAGGUCUUCGGAUCGUAAAACUCUGUUAUUAGGGAAGAACAUAUGUGUAAGUAACUGCGCACAUCUUGACGGUACCUAAUCAGAAAGCCACGGCUAACUACGUG